This 395-nucleotide ribosomal RNA is filed under the name uncultured bacterium. RNAcentral's name for it is "partial 16S ribosomal RNA". It matches the Rfam family "Bacterial small subunit ribosomal RNA", at positions 523 to 918 of the family's 1533-position model. The record is from RNAcentral.
AUACGUAGGGUGCAAGCGUUAAUCGGAAUUACUGGGCGUAAAGCGUGCGCAGGCGGUUUUGUAAGACAGAGGUGAAAUCCCCGGGCUCAACCUGGGAACUGCCUUUGUGACUGCAAGGCUAGAGUACGGCAGAGGGGGAUGGAAUUCCGCGUGUAGCAGUGAAAUUCGUAGAUAUGCGGAGGAACACCGAUGGCGAAGGCAGUCCCCUAGUCCUGUACUGACGCUCAUGCACGAAAGCGUGGGGAGCAAACAGGAUUAGAUACCCUGGUAGUCCACGCCCUAAACGAUGUCAACUGGUUGUUGGGUCUUCAUUGACUCAGUAACGAAGCUAACGCGUGAAGUUGAACGCCUGGGGAGUACGGCCGCAAGGUUGAAACUCAAAUGAAUUGACGGGG